AUUGAACGCUGGCGGCAGGCUUAACACAUGCAAGUCGAGCGGGGGAAGGUAGCUUGCUACCGGACCUAGCGGCGGACGGGUGAGUAAUGCUUAGGAAUCUGCCUAUUAGUGGGGGACAACAUCUCGAAAGGGAUGCUAAUACCGCAUACGUCCUACGGGAGAAGGCAGGGGAUCACUUGUGACCUUGCGCUAAUAGAUGAGCCUAAGUCGGAUUAGCUAGUUGGUGGGGUAAAGGCCUACCAAGGCGACGAUCUGUAGCGGGUCUGAGAGGAUGAUCCGCCACACUGGGACUGAAACACGGCCCAGACUCCUACGGGAGGCAGCAGUGGGGAAUAUUGGACAAUGGGGGGAACCCUGAUCCAGCCAUGCCGCGUGUGUGAAGAAGGCCUUAUGGUUGUAAAGCACUUUAAGCGAGGAGGAGGCUCUUUUGGUUAAUACCCAAGAUGAGUGGACGUUACUCGCAGAAUAAGCACCGGCUAACUCUGUGCCAGCAGCCGCGGUAA
This 503-nucleotide ribosomal RNA is filed under the name uncultured bacterium. RNAcentral describes it as "partial 16S ribosomal RNA". It matches the Rfam family "Bacterial small subunit ribosomal RNA", at positions 30 to 523 of the family's 1533-position model. The record is from RNAcentral.